Molecule: small nuclear RNA, 263 nt
Filed under: Mesocricetus auratus (golden hamster)
Lineage: Eukaryota; Metazoa; Chordata; Mammalia; Rodentia; Cricetidae
Description: 7SK RNA
Rfam family: 7SK RNA
About the family: 7SK was discovered as an abundant small nuclear RNA in the mid-70s but a possible function has only recently been suggested.
Source: Rfam by way of RNAcentral
GGAUAUGUGAACAAUCUGACUGUGUCAUCUGUCACCCCGUUCAUUGCCAGGGUUGGUUUGGCUGACCUGGCUGGCUAGACUCCUGUCCCCUGCCUCCCUCACAUGUGCUUCCCUCAAGAGGACCUUCCUCAAACAGAGGCACAUUGGUCUUUGGGAAAGGGUAUAUGGUAACUGUAUUUCCCAGCUAGAAACUGUAAAUGAGCUCUUGAAAUAUUUUAGAUCCUUUUCUAGAAUAAUUUUUGUACCUUCAAUUUCUUUUCUUU